AAACCCCCCACAAAGGGCCCCAUUCUGUGGAAGAGGAGGCGGAGUCAUGCAAAAGCUUUUGGAGGAGAAACAGGAACUUUCCCAUUAGGAGAGUCACUGCGCAUAUAUAGAGACAGCCAGGAAACACUAAUACAGAUGUACCAGCAGCAGCAGUGUGGACACGUUGAUGAGGUGUGUGUUUGCCAGCUAAACAUGGCCUCCCUCCCGCCUUUCUGUCUCCAGCAGUAAUCUGGCCUAAUCUCAGGCAGAGAAAUGAGGUCAAUACCGAAGGAGCAGGCUCGUCGUUGUCAGGCAGGCCGACUGUGGGGGGGCCCCCGUUGGUGGCGUCGAGGCCAAGUCCGGUCAACGAGCGGGCCAACGAGACGAGCUUUGCAGAGUGAACGGACGAC
Syngnathus acus (greater pipefish) is the source of this 389-nucleotide long non-coding RNA. RefSeq lists it as uncharacterized. The record is from RefSeq and is a predicted model, not a curated record. The transcript has 4 exons. NCBI's taxonomy places the organism in Eukaryota, Metazoa, Chordata, Actinopteri, Syngnathiformes, Syngnathidae.